Molecule: ribosomal RNA, 209 nt
Filed under: uncultured bacterium
Lineage: Bacteria
Description: partial 16S ribosomal RNA
Rfam family: Bacterial small subunit ribosomal RNA
Source: RNAcentral
UUCAGAUUGCAGGCUGCAACUCGCCUGCAUGAAGUUGGAAUUGCUAGUAAUCGCGAAUCAGAAUGUCGCGGUGAAUACGUUCCCGGGCCUUGUACACACCGCCCGUCACACCAUGAGAGUCGGGAACAACCCGAAGUCCGUAGCCUAACCGCAAGGGGGCGCGGCCGAAGGUGGGUUCGAUAAUUGGGGUGAAGUCGUAACAAGGUAGC